This 340-nucleotide long non-coding RNA is filed under the name Cyanoderma ruficeps (rufous-capped babbler). RNAcentral's name for it is "lncRNA (ENSCRFG00000014078.1)". Lineage: Eukaryota; Metazoa; Chordata; Aves; Passeriformes; Timaliidae. The record is from RNAcentral.
CUUAAAUCGGAAGGGAGCUGCUUCUCUGUGGUCUUCCACAAGAGCUGCCUGGGCUCUGCUGGCUCAGUAAUAACUGAGUGACCUUUUCUUUCGCUGUAUUAUGUCUGGCUGGUAAGGGAUUGCAUUUUGCAGCUGAUAAAGCCCUGACUUCAUUCAACUCGGCUCCUCACACGCUGCUUUAGGAGAAGAGCUACAAAGCAGCCACUGUGCUUAUUGAACUGCCUCCCCUGUAUCGCUUAAUUGAGAAGCCAGCACGAUACGGUAUGCUAACGCCGCAUGUGACAGUUUAAUCAAACCCAUUUGUUACAACAAAGCUAAGAGACCGCUGGGAUUAUAGGCU